UAGUGUUAUAGCUCUUUUAGAAUUUGUUUAGCAGAUUUUCCAGUCUCUACCGGAAGAUAUAA
Molecule: small nuclear RNA, 62 nt
Filed under: Otolemur garnettii (small-eared galago)
Lineage: Eukaryota; Metazoa; Chordata; Mammalia; Primates; Galagidae
Description: U7 small nuclear RNA
Rfam family: U7 small nuclear RNA
About the family: Animal histone pre-mRNAs are spliced by a different mechanism than nuclear pre-mRNAs and self-splicing introns. This processing involves the U7 snRNP, which contains only one RNA species: U7. The 5' end of U7 RNA is thought to base-pair to a conserved spacer element downstream of the cleavage site in histone pre-mRNA.
Source: Rfam by way of RNAcentral